RNAcentral lists this ribosomal RNA (464 nucleotides) under Rasbora vulcanus. RNAcentral's name for it is "partial 16S ribosomal RNA". It matches the Rfam family "Bacterial large subunit ribosomal RNA", at positions 1923 to 2541 of the family's 2925-position model. The record is from RNAcentral. Lineage: Eukaryota; Metazoa; Chordata; Actinopteri; Cypriniformes; Danionidae.
UUCAACGGCCGCGGUAUUUUAACCGUGCAAAGGUAGCGCAAUCACUUGUCCUCUAAUUAAGGACCUGUAUGAAUGGUUAAACGAGGGCUUAACUGUCUCCCUUUUCCAGUCAGUGAAAUUGAUCUACCCGUGCAGAAGCGGGUAUAAUAACACAAGACGAGAAGACCCUUUGGAGCUUAAGGUACAAGAAUCAAUUAUGUUAAACAAACCAUUAUAAAGUUCUAAACAAAAUAAAGAAUGAAACACUACCUUCGGUUGGGGCGACCACGGAGAAAAAAACAACCUCCAAGUGGACUGGACAGUAUCCAAAACCAAGACAAACAAUUCUAAGUAACAGAACAUCUGACCAAAAAUGAUCCGGCCACAAGCCGAUCAACGAACAAAGUUACCCAAGGGAUAACAGCGCAAUCCUCUCCCAGAGUCCAUAUCGACGAGGGGGUUUACGACCUCGAUGUUGGAUCAGG